RNAcentral lists this ribosomal RNA (480 nucleotides) under uncultured bacterium. Its description in RNAcentral is "partial 16S ribosomal RNA". It matches the Rfam family "Bacterial small subunit ribosomal RNA", at positions 28 to 523 of the family's 1533-position model. The record is from RNAcentral.
GACAAACGCUGGCGGCGUGCCUAAUACAUGCAAGCCGAACGACGAAAGCCUUCGGGCAGGUAAGAGUGGCGCACGGGCGAGGAACACGUAGAUAAUCUGCCCUUCAGUGGGGAAUAACUCUCCGAAAGGAGUGCUAAUACCGCAUAAGACCACAAGCUCUGCGGAGCAAGGGGUUAAAGGAUUUAUUCGCUGAAGGAUGAGUCCGCGUCCGAUUAGCUAGUUGGUGAGGUAAUGGCUUACCAAGGCAAUGAUCGGUAGAUGGUCUGAGAGGAUGAUCAUCCGCACUGGAACUGAGACACGGUCCAGACUCCUACGGGAGGCAGCAGUAGGGAAUAUUGCACAAUGGGGGAAACCCUGAUGCAGCAACGCCGCGUGAGUGAUGAAGGCUCUAGGGUCGUAAAGCUCUGUCGUAUGGGAAGAAAAAAAUGACGGUACCAUACAAGAAAGGACCGGCCAACUACGUGCCAGCCGCCGCGGUAA